GUGCGUGUUGAUGAAAAAUU
This 20-nucleotide microRNA is filed under the name Corchorus capsularis. Its description in RNAcentral is "sRNA CCACVL1_03456". Lineage: Eukaryota; Viridiplantae; Streptophyta; Magnoliopsida; Malvales; Malvaceae. The record is from RNAcentral.